This 569-nucleotide ribosomal RNA is filed under the name uncultured bacterium. Its description in RNAcentral is "partial 16S ribosomal RNA". It matches the Rfam family "Bacterial small subunit ribosomal RNA", at positions 355 to 911 of the family's 1533-position model. The record is from RNAcentral.
UGGGGAAUUUUGGGAUCAAUGGGGGAACCCGAUCGAUCCAGCCAUCCCGCCGUGUGCGAUGAAGGCCUUCGGGUUGUAAAGCACUUUUGGCAGGAAAGAAACGUCGCGGGUUAAUACCCCGCCGAACAUGACGGUACCUGCAGAAUAAGCACCGGCUAACUACGUGCCAGCAGCCGCGGUAAUACGUAGGGUGCAAGCGUUAAUCGGAAUUACUGGGCGUAAAGCGUGCGCAGGCGGUUCGGAAAGAAAGAUGUGAAAUCCCAGAGCUUAACUUUGGAACUGCAUUUUUAACUACCGGGCUAGAGUGUGUCAGAGGGAGGUGGAAUUCCGCGUGUAGCAGUGAAAUGCGUAGAUAUGCGGAGGAACACCGAUGGCGAAGGCAGCCUCCUGGGAUAACACUGACGCUCAUGCACGAAAGCGUGGGGAGCAAACAGGAUUAGAUACCCUGGUAGUCCACGCCCUAAACGAUGUCAACUAGCUGUUGGGGCCUUCGGGCCUUGGUAGCGCAGCUAACGCGUGAAGUUGACCGCCUGGGGAGUACGGUCGCAAGAUUAAAACUCAAAUGAAUU